Molecule: transfer RNA, 56 nt
Filed under: Agrilus planipennis (emerald ash borer)
Lineage: Eukaryota; Metazoa; Arthropoda; Insecta; Coleoptera; Buprestidae
Rfam family: tRNA
About the family: Transfer RNA (tRNA) molecules are approximately 80 nucleotides in length. Their secondary structure includes four short double-helical elements and three loops (D, anti-codon, and T loops). Further hydrogen bonds mediate the characteristic L-shaped molecular structure. tRNAs have two regions of fundamental functional importance: the anti-codon, which is responsible for specific mRNA codon recognition, and the 3' end, to which the tRNAs corresponding amino acid is attached (by aminoacyl-tRNA synthetases). tRNAs cope with the degeneracy of the genetic code in two manners: having more than one tRNA (with a specific anti-codon) for a particular amino acid; and 'wobble' base-pairing, i.e. permitting non-standard base-pairing at the 3rd anti-codon position.
Source: Rfam by way of RNAcentral
CCUUAGUGGUCAAAGCAUUGGCGCUUAAAGCCAAAGAGCCCGGGUUCGAUUCCCGG